Molecule: ribosomal RNA, 253 nt
Filed under: uncultured bacterium
Lineage: Bacteria
Description: partial 16S ribosomal RNA
Rfam family: Bacterial small subunit ribosomal RNA
Source: RNAcentral
UACGUAGGGGGCAAGCGUUGUCCGGAUUUAUUGGGCGUAAAGAGCGUGUAGGCGGCCAGGUAGGUCGGCUGUGAAAACUCGAGGCUCAACCUCGAGCUGUCGGCUGAAACCAUCUGGCUAGAGUCCGGAAGAGGAGAAUGGAAUUCCCGGUGUAGCGGUGAAAUGCGCAGAUAUCGGGAAGAACACCCGUGGCGAAGGCGGUUCUCUGGGACGGUACUGACGCUGAGACGCGAAAGCGUGGGGAGCGAACAGG